UAUGAAUUAAAACUUUAAAUGUUAUCAUUUGAAUUUCUUGGUUUCUUUGGUUUUGAUAAAAGUUAGAACAGAGUUAAAGAAUUCCCUUUCAAACCCUAAAAUUUCCUUUCAAACCCUAUUGCGCCGUCACUUCAUCUUCACUCUCGAACCCAGCAGCUUCCUCGAGCCUUCAUCGUUGUAAUCGUUCAACCUAUUGCGUUCAUCGUUCAGCCUUCAUCGCGUUCAUCACUGCCCUUCAUCUCACCCAUCCUGCAUCGCCUUCGUCGCACCCAGCCUUCAUCGCUGUAAUCGUCAUCUUCGUCGAGCAGUCGUUGUCUUGAGCUUGCCGUCGCCAUCACCAUGGUCUUCCUCGAGCUUGCCGUCGCUGUCAUGUUCGUCGAGCAGUCGUUGUCUUCCUCGACGCUGCUUUGAAUGGCUUUUCCUUGAAAGGUUCAGAAAACCCUAACCUCCAUCACGCCGCCAUCUAUCUCACCGUCGCCACCCUUGGCCCUCAAGAUCGCAACCAGGUUCGUCCUUGCUGUUUGGCUUGUUGUCCCUCUCGCCGUUCUGCUCGGAAAGCUGCUCGCCUCUGUCUCGUGGUUCUUCUCGCCUCUGUCUCGCAGUUCUGCACGCCUCUGUCUCGCGGUUCUGCUCGCCAGGUCUCGCGGUUCUGCUCGCCGUGCUGCUCGAAGCAGCAACAGAAGAAGAAGAAAGAGAAAAAGGUGUAUGAUUUACCUGGCCAGAAAUGAGAUCCACUGGAGGAGAAAGAUCCUCUCAGGAUUUUCUAUGAGAGUUUAUAUGAGCAAGUUCCCACAAGCGAAAUGUCACAAGUCUGUGCUACAAGACCAAAAAUCUACUUUUGUGGAAGCUUUAAACUUUAACUAUGGGAAACCUUAUGAUCAAAGUAAGUUUCUCUUAAUGACUUCUCCAUACAUAUAUAUAUGGUUUGCAGCAUUUUAAAUUUUCCUAUUGCCAAUUGUGUAAUAUUUAAUUUCUCCUUCUUCCUUACAACUGGAUAAAGAUUAAUAUGAAGACAUCAUCAUAAUAUAGAACCUUAAUUUUGUUAAAGCAACUCGAAGAUUAAUCAACAAAUUCAAUAUGGAAUAAGCAAAGAUUACAAAGUAGUUGCCCGUUAAUAUAAUAAUGGUGAUAGCCGCAAGUUUCUGUAUUUUCAAAAGUAUAUGAUGAUAUAUAUGUAUGUGACUAUGCGAGUUAACGGAAUAUCCAAGUAAUAUCUGUAUAUGUACAUUUAUCUUCAAAGGAUACUUUUUCUAUAAAUAUAGUUUUAACUUAUAUAAGAUUAUUUUGUGGUGGUCUUUAAGAAUUAGAGCAUUAU
Arachis ipaensis is the source of this 1315-nucleotide non-coding RNA. NCBI's taxonomy places the organism in Eukaryota, Viridiplantae, Streptophyta, Magnoliopsida, Fabales, Fabaceae. The record is from RefSeq and is a predicted model, not a curated record.